GUUUUAUUCUUAUUCCUUAAUAGAGAGAAUUCAUUCUAGAUCGCUAACUUGUUUUCUCCAUUUCUCUCUUUACUGUUUUUACCUAUAAAAAAUAAACUUAACUUAUAAAGAUUUUUUUUAGCAGAUCAGUCUCUCUGUGACAGAAGCACACAACACUUGACAAUUUUUGCUUAUUACACAAACCAGAAUAUCCUAUAGAUUUCAUCUUCUUGCUAACAUAACUGGAUUAGCAAUCAGAAACAAAUGCAAUUAGAUGACAAUUGUAUGGAAUAGGAAAAAUGUAAUUAAAUAGUAAAGAGCAAACAAAGAUGUUUUUAUUCCAUGAGAAAAAUAAAUUUCAGGCCUUGAAAUAAAAUAUUCUAUACAAGCGAAGAAUAAGAUUAAAAAGGUAUUUAGAUACACAUGAGGCCUGGUGCCAUGAAACAGUGAUAUUGAAUAAGUGUUAAUAUUAUUUUUGGCAGUAAAUAACUUAAAAAUAUUCAGAAUAAAAUGCAUCAGGAUAUUAAGAUUAACAGAAGGCAGAGUUUCCAGAGCCUCGUUUACAUGACUAUAUAUAUAUUUCUUUUUUUCUUAAAGCUUAGAAGUGGUUUUAAAACAGAUUACAACAUUUGCAUGAAUGAGUACCAAAUGAACAAUGAAUUUGUGAAGAAAAUGAGCCCUCCACCCAGUCUAGUAAUUUUAUGGUUCAAAAGUCAUAUCAGAUUAUUUUUAAGCCUUUAUUUCAUUGUGGGUAUAAAUUUGAAGUAUUAUCUCAAAUGUGAAGAAGCAUGAAACAGCUCAUUGUGGAGUUCAAGCAAAUAGAAACAACUACUGCGGCUAUUUCUAUACUAAGCUCAUCCCUAAAUUCAAUUGCGAUUUUAAUUAUUUUGAGAUAGUUUGGGCUUGGGAGACGUCCUUAAGGGUUAGUUGUUAUAUAAUGAAAAAUAUUGGGCAAAAUUAUUUGAACAGACUGUUAAGAUGACAAGGUAAACAAAUGAACAGCUUUCCUAUCCAGUUAUUUCUUUUCCUUUAUUCAUCAACAAAUCUCAGAAGAAACUAUGUUCCAGGAGCACAUUGUUCUCAUGCUUUGGAUACAAAGUUAAAAUUGAUAUAACCCUUUUUCAGGAGAAGUUCACUGUUGGCUAGGGAAGAGAAACACAAAAACAGAUCAUUGUAAGGCAACGUUCGAAGUGUUAAUAAAGAAGGAUGAGAAUUGUUUGCCGUUGGGAAUGAUUACCUUUGAAUAGACAAGUCUAGAAAGUCUUCAUGGAGAAGUCCUGGGUCCUGAAGAAAGAGUAAGAGAUUAUCAGGAAAAGAAAAGAGGAAAGCAGGAUGUCUUCUGUGGUUACUUUUUAAAUCUAAAUAUUUUAAACGAUUGAAUAAUCUGAGGGAGCAUGCUGGGAGUCAGCCAGAAAACAGUCUGAAUGGACGCAAUUUGAGAAACAGUCGACCUUGGUUAACUGCUUUAUUGGGAUAGAGCCACAGACUGUAAAAUUCACUCUUUGAAAGCACACAGCAUUAUUCACAACAGCCAAAGGAUGCAAACAACCCAAAUCCAACUCAAGUGGUGAAUGGGAAGAUUAGCUCUGAGCUAACUACUGCCAAUCCUCCUCUUCGUGCUGAGGAAGACCAGCCCCGAGCUAAUAUCCGUGCCCAUCUUCCUCUACUUUAUAUGUGGGAUGCCUACCACAGCAUGGCUUUUGCCAAGCGGUGCCAUGUCUGCACCCAGGACCCGAACCAGCAAACCCAGGGCCGCCGAGAAGAGGAAUGUGCGAACUUAACUGCUGCACCACCGGGCCAGCCCCUAAAAUUUGAUUUUUAAACGAUGUGGUUUUUCUCUCUUCCUUUUGCCCAGAUCAUUCUCCUCACUAUUCAAGGAGCAGGAAGACAUUUUUAUACACACACACACACACGCACACAUGCAUAAAAGGAAUUGAAUUAUUUGGAUUUUGAGCUCUUGAGUAGGCUUUUGUAAAUCUAUGGCAGAGACAAUAAUCUUCAAAGUCAUGGUUUUCAACUUCCUAAACCUGAUGCUUAAGAGAGAAAAGGAUAAAAAUCUGGCUUUAAAAAAUAAAGGCAAAGAUGGAGAACUCAGAGCAUAGAAUUUCACCAUAAAAUAUUUCAGUCAAUUUGGGAUCGAUGAAGGUUAAUGUAAAAGCUAUUUUUCCACUCAAAGAGAAUAAAAGUUUGAGUAGCAGAGAAGGGAGGAGAUGUGACUAGACCUUAGAUACUGCCUGAGUCCUUGGGAAGGUUCUCAAAACAAUACCUCUGGGGGUUGGGUAAGAGGAGGCCUAGGGAAAGAAACCUCUGAGAGGGCUGAGAUUCCUGAACCCAGAAGAUGCAAGCCUCAUAAAGAAGCAAGAGUCCAGUGUAGGGCCUAAGAGGUAGCUCAACGGGAGAAUGUGCCUAAGGGCAGCCAUCCUCACCUUAACCCUACCCUCUCUGUGUAGACUGGAAAAAAUUAGUGAGAGGGGCUGAGUACUCAAAGGUGUGGGACAAGGAAGUGCUGAGUUUGGGUCAAUGUUCUAAAAAGGGCCUGGAGUUAGCAUAAGAGGAUGUAGAAUGUGUGGAUGGCCCCAUCCAAGGUCAUGUCCCCUUCUCAGGACAACCCGUAUCCAAUGGCUGAUCAAUAUGGAGACAAAAAGACCCAGCCCUCUUACUCAAACUUGGGACAAUUCUGAUGGGUCAUCCCAGCUUCAGAUGGGGACACAUUGGCAGCUAAGGCCUCUGUUGAGACCACAUCACAAUUUAACUUCUUCCUCUGUUCAGUCCUCCUUCCUUCCCUUCUUCUUCAUCGAUGUGCCACCCAAGAGGGCUCCCUA
Molecule: long non-coding RNA, 2801 nt
Organism: Equus caballus (horse)
Lineage: Eukaryota; Metazoa; Chordata; Mammalia; Perissodactyla; Equidae
Source: Ensembl